Molecule: transfer RNA, 72 nt
Filed under: Camelus bactrianus (Bactrian camel)
Lineage: Eukaryota; Metazoa; Chordata; Mammalia; Artiodactyla; Camelidae
Also listed under: 1 other name
Rfam family: tRNA
About the family: Transfer RNA (tRNA) molecules are approximately 80 nucleotides in length. Their secondary structure includes four short double-helical elements and three loops (D, anti-codon, and T loops).
Source: Rfam by way of RNAcentral
GAGGGUAUAGCUCAGCGGUAGAGUGCAUGCUUAGCAUGCAUGAGGUCCUAGGUUCAAUCCCCAGUCCCUCCA